Molecule: long non-coding RNA, 934 nt
Organism: Photinus pyralis (common eastern firefly)
Lineage: Eukaryota; Metazoa; Arthropoda; Insecta; Coleoptera; Lampyridae
Exons: 3
Source: RefSeq, a predicted model, not a curated record
UUUGAAAUUUUUGUUCGUGAACUUCCAAAGGCGAUUCGAUACUGCAUAUACCUAUGUGAUGUCACAACUGACAACUCAAAUUUGCACCUCAAAAAUCAACAAAAACUCUCAUCUCAAGUUUUACAGAAUUGAGACGAAAUAUAAAUCGCCCUAUUUUUUGGCACAAAUGCUGUACUACUGGAACACGCCCUUAAUCGAAAUACUAGUUGAAUGUCACCAAUGGAUUGUUCAAAAUGCACUCUAAUCUGUGACACUUUGAAGCAUUUUGGAGAAUAGUGCAGGAAGCGCAAACGUGAGAAAACUCCCUCGUUCAUAGAAAUCACUACGUAUCCCUAGCCCCUGUUGUCAAAUGCAUACACUGAAGCAGUUUGCUCGCAAUUAUAUGGUAGGUAUGUAUCUAAAACUGGAAUUCAAAUUGCUUAAAAUCGGCUGUCCAAAAUUGAAAUUCUUUGGAGACAAUGGUGCACUGUGUAUAUUGAUCGACUUAUAGCUUACAACGAUUGUACCGUUACUCAAACAAUAAUAAAUGAAUAAAUUUUCACUUUUUCAGAAAUCAUGUUAGUUAUAGUUUUACGAUGAACAUACGUCUAUACUUUUUUUACAAUAACUUUAGUAAAUAUAUACAAGACAAAACUGUAAUGUUACCAGGGUACCUAAUGUGAAAUAAACUGUAAUUUUGUUGCAAAAAAGUAACCAUAACAUGACAUGUAUUGCUAUAAUCAAACGAUGGACGCAAUGGUGCUGUUUCAAAAUAUUCUUGUACUAACAUAAUUUCGAUAUCCGAUGCCAAUAAUUUACAUGAAAGGGUGUGUUGGUUCAUCCAAUUAAAAAUUUCUAAUGACAUACAUAUGCUAAUUGGAUGAUAUUUGACUUUACCGUUAAUCUAUCAACCAUUUCAUUUCAUAACCGUCACAGAAAAAAAUCAAUUAAACUU